Long non-coding RNA from Hypanus sabinus (Atlantic stingray), 8394 nucleotides. RefSeq lists it as uncharacterized. The transcript has 3 exons. NCBI's taxonomy places the organism in Eukaryota, Metazoa, Chordata, Chondrichthyes, Myliobatiformes, Dasyatidae. The record is from RefSeq and is a predicted model, not a curated record.
CUCCCCUCUCGCUUUCUCCCUUAUUCGGGAGAGAGAGAGAGAGAGAGAUCCAGUGGUAUGUCGAAUUGCCGAGUGAACGAGGAGUUUUUGGGAAGUCCAGGUCCAGGAGUAUGAACAAGCGUCACAAGCUGGGAUCUUCCUAGGGUGCAGUGGAUGACCGUGAUGUCUUCUGUGCCUUGUCAUGUCCUUCGCUCUACGUGGGCCGUUGCAGUACCGCUUUCCUGGCUGUUGGAACUCACUGCAGAUCUCAUCCGCCUACUCUGCCGGAACUGACCGCAUGCUGGGACGGGCGCGUCCCUAUCUCACCUGGCAUGCCAUAUUGGUGCCGGAAGCAGGGCGAAACUUGUGGGCUGCCUCCCAGCCAGCGCACGAUCUUUGGACUGUGUUGGUCGUUGAUGUGAAACGACAUGUAUUCCGCUGUACAUGUGAAAAAUAAAGGGAAUCUCUGAAGAUCGCGAGAAUCUCUAGCUCAGGGAUUGCGUUCUGGCUUCCAGCUCCCCUCUUGGUGAGAAAAUUCCUCUCUGGAUCCUUUUCAAGCUUCUUGAUCCUUACCCUGAGCCUCUGACCUCCUCUGCUGUGUCGUUUGGGAAAAAUUUAUUAUUUAUUUAUUUAACGAUCCGGCACAGAACAGGCCCUUCCAGCCCAACGAGCUGCACCGCCCAGCCACCCAGAUAUUUAAUCCUAUUCUAAUCACAGGACAAUUUACAAUGACCAAGUACCCUACUCCUCCAAGAGGACCACAAGGGGUUUGAGGCUUGCGUGCCUCAAUGACCCGGAGAGCUAUGCUGGCUGGACUCAGGACCUUGUGCUUUGGCUCUUGGUUGUGUUCUGUACGGGGUUGGGGUGUUAGUAGUCAUCUUGACGUUCAUUUUUGUGCAGAGGGUGGGUCCGAUGUUUUUCUACGAACGACUUCCAUGGUUUUCUUCGUUUCAUGGCUAUCUGGAGAAGAUGAAUCUCAGGGUUGUAUAUUCUGAAGACAUGCCUUGACAAUAAAUGAAUCUCAGAGCCUUUGAAGACAGGAGAUCAGGGAGAUCUGGUAUUCAGGCCGAUGUUCAUUCCUCAACAGCAUAAUGAUCCAUUUCAUAGUCCCUUUCUACUUUUGGGCGAUUUUUGAACCAGGCGGCCUGCAGGUAGAAAACACUGAGCUGAACUGUACUGAAAUAUGCCUUUUGAUUUUGGGUUUUGUAUUCUGCGUUUUCACUCUUUUUUUUUGCUGGUAUUUGCGUGUGAGGGGAGGGGCAUUGAAGUUUGACGUUUUUCUAUGAAUGUGUUGGUUCCGUGGUGUCUCUUUGUUCUGUGGCAGUUUGUGGAGACGAGGAAUGGCAGGUUUGUACACUGCAUUCACACUUUGAUAAUAAAUCUACUUUGAAUCUUGAAUCUUUAAUAUAGAAUAGAACUUUUUUGGCAUUGCUCAAGAUGACGAGGUUGUGGUGCUCCUCCAGUCCUUGCAAAAUAGAUAUCUACAAUGCAUGCAGUACAGCUUAAUUUUUAAAAUUCCCAUAUUUACAAGCAACAAGUGUCUUUGAGAGUCCGUAACAAGAGUCUUUGAGGGGAUUGGCAUCAAAGGCAAUUGGCAAGUCCAGUCAGGGGAUUGGCAUCAAAGGCGAUUGGCAUUAUUCAGCUGCACAGCAGCCCUCAGGAAGGAGCUGUUUCUUGGCUAAGAUGUUUCUAUACCAGAUGGCAGGGGAUUGAACAGAUAGUGCCUGGGUUGGGGUGGGUCUUUUAUGAUGUUACAAGCCGCCAUAGGCAUUGAGAGUUGUUGUAGAUAGUCUCUGAGUCCAGUAUUUGAGUCUCAACGACGUGCUGAGCCGUCCUGAUCUCCCGUUGGAGUGCUUUGUGAUCUGUCUUGCUGCAGCUAGAGUCCCACACCGUCAUUCCCUACGUCAGGAUGCUCUCUGUCACACAUCGCUGAAAGGUGGCCAGCAAUUUUUAGGGUAGGUCAGAUCUCCUUAAGCGCCUCAGGUGUUAUGGUCACCGCUGUGUCUCCCUGCUGUCCAGGUUGUUCACCUCCAAAAACUGGAAACCCUUUCCACUUUUUCCACACAGAAGAUCAAAGCUUGAGUCAGCUUGUUCAGAGGCUGGAGGCAGGAUGUCUGUCAGUCUGCAAGUCCACUAGUCUACUGGAAGCUGGAGGCCCGGAGACGGCCUGACCUGGGGUUGGAGGCCUCUCUUUGUACGAGUGGGGGGCAUUGGGGGGUGGUAAGGGUAUCGUUCUGUUGCUUUGUUUAUUGUGUUAUUGUUGUUGUUGUUGCUUGUGUUGUACCAAACACUGUGUAUAUGCUAUGCUGCCGCCAUAGCGUGCCCGCUGCCCCCAGCACAUCUUCAGGUUGUGUUGGCUGUUAACACAAGUAACACAUUUCGUUGUAUACUUCGAUGAUACGUAAAUGAUUUUGAAUAAAGGAGGCCAUCCGGCCCAUCAAUCUUCACCUACAGGAAAGAAGUAAAUAAGGUUGAAAGAGUACUGAGAAAAUUUACAAGGAUAUUUCCAGAACUUGACCCUAAUAAUAAGAAUAGCCCUUAACUUGGCAGUGGAGUGAUCGGGGCACCGUCAUGACGGUGUUUCCGUAGCGAGCUAUUCUUGUUUUUACAAGGCUGAGUUGCUCGCUCGACGCUCAACCCAAUUUGGAUUUGAACUCGGGAACCUUUGCUCCGGAGUACGGCACUGAUAUUAUUGCACCACCAAGCGGGACCGACCCUUAUAAGGAAAGAUUGAAUAAGGUAGUGUUCUUGGAUUCAAUGUCCAUUCAUAAAUUGGAUGGCGGAGGGGAAGAAGCUGUUCCUGAAUCAUUGACUGUGUGCCUUCAGGCUCCUGUACCUCCUCCCUGAUGAUCGCAAUGAGAAGAGGGCACGUCUUGGGUGAUGGGGGUCCCUAAUGAUGGAUGUCACCUUUUUGAGGUUUUGCUCCCUGAAGAUGUCCUGGAUACUACGGAGGCAAAAGUCCAAGAUGGAGGUCACUGGGUUUACAACUGUCUACAACUUAUUUCGAUCCUGUGCCAUGACCCCACCACUCCUUUUCAGAGAGUGAUGCAGCCAGUCAGAAUACUCUCCACAUCUGUAGAAGUUCGUGAGUGUAUUGGUGACGCAGUAAAUCUUCUCAAACUCCAGAUGGAAUAUAGUCGCUGUUGUGUCUGCUUUGUAGAUGCAUCGACAUUUUGGCCCAGGAUAGAUCCUCAGAGAUGAUGACACCCAGGAAUUUGAAAUUGCUCACUCUUUACCCGAUGGGGACUGGAGUAUGGGCGUAGGGUUUUGCAACAAUACUUUGGACUCUUCAUAUAUAAAAGUCCACGUAAUUGUCACAAAUGGGGUGUGAUGGGGAGGAGAGACCCCAGUGAGAUGUCAAUGUCUAUGUGACACUCACAGAUGAGCCUGGCUCAUGAAAGGAGCGAUAAAACCCGACAAACUUUUCUUUGUGUUUAAAGUCUGUUGCUUUCAGGACUUUUCUAUCUCCUAAGCAAGAAGACAAGGCUGGCCUCUGUCAUGCAAUCAUGAAGAGAAACACACCAGUGGCUCCGCUUCAUUGGGAGUUUGAGGAGGUUAGGUAUGUCACCAAACACAGAUUCAAAGUACAUUUAUUAUCAAAGAAUGGACAAAUUAUACAACCUUGAGAUUUGUCGAGGCCCACCCUCAAUGCGCAGAGGAAGAGAGAAAAAAACACAAAUCAAGGGAACAAUAGAAGCCAGCAACAGCAUUCUGAACUAAACUGAGUCCAGAGAUCCGAUUCCCCAGAGGAGCCCGUAGUAGGCCGAAGCCUCAGUCUUGGUUAAUUAGUGGGGCCAAUCACCGCAAAGCUCGCAGGCACAAGGAACAGCAGCCAUGGCAGCCUCACAGUCUUAACACUGUGGAGAGAGGAGUGAACAUCGCAGGACAGCAAGUAAAAUUGGCCCGACACCCUGCCUUUCCAGUCUUUCUGGGCCCGUGUUUAAAUUGUCCAAACAAUGGAUCAUACCUCUCAUUAGGACCUGCGGUGAAAUGCUCUGGGCCCCAGCCACACUGCCCGGCGAUUCGUUCCAGGAUAGAUCUUGCUGCCCAGCCCGAAGCCGUUCUCGACCACUCCAAGUGGGAUUGGUGCUUAGAGCAAUCCAACCUUGCACCUGGGUUAGUUGGACGGGCACUGAAACUCCUCUGCCUCAACCCCUCCUCCCGGAUUCACUCACUCCAUCAGUGCCAAUUUUACAACGCACCAGCACAGCUCAUCCCUCGAACUCGCUUCGCUUUCCCUCACCUCUUCGUUGUUUGUGGUGAAAGUUUACCACAAUUUGCUUCAGGAAGAGUCUUAUUAUUAAUGUUUUUAGUCAAAUUUCUUCCCUUUCGAACUACCAGCGGGUGUUUGCUCGCUUCCAGUAGUGCCAUCUUAAACCAGAAGGAAGGCUCUGGCAAAUUUCUCCAGAUGUACCAUGGAGAGCUUUCUAACUAGUUGUUUCCCUGUCUGGCAUGGAGGGACCAAUGCAGAGAACUGGACAAAGCAAUACUGAGUUGUAGACUAUGCCUUUAAAUGAUCCCUUAUUGACACACAGAAAGAGUGGCUGCACUAGGUACAACAUUGUGCGAUAUCUAUGCAUGCCAUUUACAGGUCAAGAGAUGUUCAUCUAAUUCAGGGGCUAAGACCAUAGGACUAUAAGAUAUAGGAGCAGAAUGAGGCCAUUUGGCCCAUUGAGUCUGCUCCACGAUUUCGUCAUGGCUGAUCCAUUUUCCCUCCCAGACCCAAUCUCCUGCCUUCUCCCCAUAUCUCUUCAUGCCCUGACUAAUCAGGAAUCUAUAGACUUCUGCCUUAAGUACACCCAAUGACUUGAUCUCCACAACUGCUUGUGUCAACACAUUCUACAGACUCACCAUCCUCUGGCUAAAGAAAUUCCUUCUCACCCCCAUUCUAAAGAGAUGUCCCUCUACUCUGAGGCUGUGUCCUCUGGCCUAGACUCCCCCACCAUAGGAAACAUCUUCUCCACAUUUACUCUAUCGAGGCCUUCAGCAUUUAAUAGUUUUCAAUGAGGUCACCCCUCAUUCUUCUGAAUUCUAAGUAGUGAUGAGCGUGCUGUAAACGAUAUUUGUAACAACUGUGAUGUGAUAUGAAAACCUCUGUGAUUUCUAUUGGUGACAAGUCACAGUUACUUACAUUCGUAAUUGAAGGAAAUAUUACAUUUCAAUUAGAGGUUAGUGAAAAUAAAGACUUAAAGUUAACGGAUUUCCCUGGAAUGUAUCCAGAGAAUCAGAAUCAGGUUUAUUAUCACCGGUAUGUGAUGUGAAAUUUGUUAACGUAGCAGCAGCAGUUCAAUGCAAUACUUAACAAUGGAUGAAUGAAUAAAUAAGUUAUAGUAUACGUAUAUUGAAAAAUGUGCAAAAACAGAAAUGACAACUAUUAAAAAAAAGUGAGGUGAUGUUCACAGGUUGAAUGUCUAAAUUGGAUGGCAGAGGGGAAGAAGCUGUUCCUGAAUCACUGAGUGUGUAUCUUCAGGCUCCUGUACCUCCCCCCUGAUGGCAGAGGGGAAGAAGCUGUUCCUGAAUCACUGAGUGUGUGUCUUCAGGCUCCUGUACCUCCCCCCUGAUGGAAGAGGGGAAGAAGCUGUUCCUGAAUCACUGAGUGUGUAUCUUCAGGCUCCUGUACCUCCUCCCCCAUGGUAGCAAUGAGAAGAGGGCAGACCUGGGUGCUGGAGGUCGUUAAUGAUGGACGCUGACUUUCUGAGACACCCCCAAGGGGUCAGUGGACCCCAGGUUAAGAACCCUUGAUCUAAUUGCUCAGGUCUCACUGCACGGCAGUAAAGUGGUUAGCACAACGAUUUUCAGUACAGGUGACGUGGGUUCAAUUCCUGCCACUGCCAGUUCUAUUUGUUUAACUGCCUCCCACUCUUGCUACUCUUGCGAGGUUAAAUGGUCAUUGUAGAUUGUCCUGUGAUUGCGGGGUAGUGUGGCUUGAGAGCCGGAAGUGCCUAUUCUGCACUGUAUCUCAAUAAACAAAUCCUUCCAGCUGUAGAUUGCAGUGAGGAAUGGCGAAUUUCACUGAGAGCUCCAUGCUCUUUUCUCCUAACUCAAAGGCGCUGUGUGAAAAGAAUUCGGAGAAUGUUUAAAAUUUUAAUUUGUCCUUGGGGUAUAGAGGAAGCUGGCAGCCCCACUCCGAGCUCUGGUCAUCAGUUCCCCUGAGGGAUUAGAAGUACUUCUUGCUUUGUGCUGACAUUGUUAUUCUGUUACGACUGAGUGGCUUAGUAGGCCAAAUCAGAGGACAUUAAACUCAAACUGUAAAGUUGAAUUAGAGCCAUGUGGGUGGACCAGGCUGUGUAGAAGAGCUUCAUACGUAUCCUGCUGCACAGUAGCGAAGCAGUCAGCACGACACUUCACAGUACCAGCAACCUGGGUUCGGUUCCCGUCAUUGCCUGUAAGACUUGACUGGAAAACCCAACACCAAGGCUGUUUACGGGGAGGGGAUGAGCAGACUCUACUUUCUAAGGAAGAUGAGAUCCUUCAAUGUGUGCAGCAGGACUUUGGAGAUCUUUUCCGGUCUGUUGUACUGUGUGCAGUCUUUGCGGCUCUGUGUUGGGGAGCAGCAUUGGUGCCGGUCAUCCUAAAGGACUAAUUAAACUCUUCAGAAAGGCUGGAUCUGUCCUUGGCUACAACCAGGACUCUUCUGAGUUAGUGGUGGAGAGUAGGUCAUUACGGACGAUCUGGCACGUUCUCUCCAUGACCUACUGAAUAAGCAGUGGAGCCCCCUUUCGAAGAGACUCACUCAGUUCCCCUAUCACAAGGAUCGUCACAGAAAAUCUUUCCGACAAGUGCAAUAAGCAAAUACAACAGUUCAUCUCUGUUCAACAGGAGAGCACACAUUAUAGUACGAUAGUCUGUUCUAUUAUUUCAUACAUUAUUAUUGUAAAUUAUUGCAUUGUUUCCUCAGCACUACCUACCCCUCCACCUAUCUUCAUAUCAUCUGCAAACUUUGCCACAAAACCAUCAAAUCCAUUAUCCAAAUCAUUGUCAAACAAUGUGAAAAGUAGUGGUCCCAAUACUGACCCCUGAGGAACACCACUAGUCACCGGCAGAAAAGGCCCUCUUUAUUUCCACUGGUUGCCUCCUGCCUGUCAGCCAUUCCACUAUCCAUGCCAGUAUCCUCCCUGUAACGCCAUAGGAUUUUAUCCCGUUCAGCAGCCUCAGGUGUGGCACCUUAUCAAAUGCCUCCCGAAAAUCCAAGUAAAUGACAUCCACUGCCUCUCCUAUGUCCAGACUGCGUGUUACUUCCUCAAAGAACUCCAAAAGAUUUGUCAGGCAAGAUUUCCCUUUACAGAAACUAUGCUGACUUUGACUUAUUUUAUCAUUGGUCUCCAAGUACCUCAAAACCUUAUCCUUAAUGAUAGACUCCAACACUUCCCCAACCACUGAGGUUAGGUUAACUGGCCAGUAAUUUCCUUUCCUUUGCUUUCCUCCCUUAUUAAAGAGAGGCUCAGCUCGACAUAGUCCGGCAGACGGUUUUGUAAGAUAACUUCCUCUGGAAGCAAUCAGGAGCAUUUUAUUAAAUUAAAGGUGGUGCGUAAAUGCAAGCUAUGUAAAUUGCUAUGGAAAUGCAAGGUAUGGAAAUACAGGGUAUGUAAAUACAGGGUAUGUAAACGCAGGGUAUGUAAACGCAGGGUAUAUGGGUACUGGCUUGUUGCCAGUUUUGGAUUCUUACUGCAUUGGAACAUCACGGUUUGAAUUAGUUCCCUUAAGUGUGCAGGUCAAUGACCAGAACUGUUGCUUGGAAGCUUAGUUAUUGUCAUCUGUGGGUUGAUGGGUGACACCACUGCCUCUAAGCUGGAGGGCUUCGCAAUGACACCCCGCCCCCCCUGCCGAGUCCAAAAGGCCAGAAGAUACAUAAGAAUUAUGCCACUGGUCCCAUCAGGUCUGCUCUGCCGUUCCAUCAUAGCUGAUUUAUUAUAUUAUCCCUCUCAACCCCAUUCUCCUGCCCUCUUCCGAUAACCUUUGAUGUACCGACAAAUGAAGAACCUAUUAGCCUCCGCCUUAAAUAUAUCCAGUGGCUUGGCAUCCACACCUGUCUGUGGCAAUGACUCACCACCCUCUUGCUAAAGAAAUUCCUCCUCAUCUCCGUGCCAAAGAGGAUUCCUUGUAUUCUGAGGCUGUGACUUCUCCCACCACAGCAAACAUCCUCUCCACUUCCACUCUGCCGUAGGUCUCUGUUGAUCCGGGCCAGGUGUUGUGCCGUAGCUGUCCAGAUACACAAGCCAUGGAAAGCAAGCUGUUGCCCAUGUAGCAAGCUCCCACUCACGUGUCUGAUGAACCCAAAGAGACAGUACAGACCAAUACAGUUUGGCACCAGUGACAUCACAGGAACUGACCAUCAACGUUGAAUUCAGUGUAGGACCACCUUAAGGACCCUAGCUCAGGAUAUUCCCUAGGGGUUUACUCCCAGAGCCUUCCUCA